GCGGGAGGCUCUGACGCGCGGUCCACGCAACGGUCGCCGGGACCGCGCCGAGCCACUGGCGAGACCGACCCGC
Molecule: non-coding RNA, 73 nt
Filed under: unclassified sequences
Description: c-di-GMP sequence
Rfam family: c-di-GMP-II-GAG riboswitch aptamer
Source: Rfam by way of RNAcentral